GAUGAACGCUGGCGGCGUGCUUAACACAUGCAAGUCGAACGGAGAAGCCCAGCUUUCUUGGUGUGUUCGUGUGGCACGGGUGAGUGUCACGCGAGUAUCACCUGCUCUUCACUGUGGUAUACCUUCAGAACUGUGUCGAUUAUACCGUACAGCCGCUCCCGGUGCGUGGUGGUGGUUGAAAGGUUUUGUGGUUUGGGAUGGACUCGCGGCCUAUCAGCCUGUUGGUGAGGGAAUGGCUUACCAAGGCGUUGACGGGUAGCCGGCCUGAGAGGGUGACCGGCCACACUGGGACUGAGAUACGGCCCAGACUCCUACGGGAGGCAGCAGUGGGGAAUAUUGCACAAUGGGCGAAAGCCUGAUGCAGCGACGCCGCGUGAGGGAUGACGGCCUUCGGGUUGUAAACCGCUUUCGGUUGGGACGAAGCGAGAGUGACGGUACUUGGAGAAGAAGCGCCGGCUAACUACGUG
Molecule: ribosomal RNA, 467 nt
Filed under: uncultured bacterium
Lineage: Bacteria
Description: partial 16S ribosomal RNA
Rfam family: Bacterial small subunit ribosomal RNA
Source: RNAcentral